RNAcentral lists this ribosomal RNA (194 nucleotides) under uncultured Ureibacillus sp. Its description in RNAcentral is "partial 16S ribosomal RNA". It matches the Rfam family "Bacterial small subunit ribosomal RNA", at positions 338 to 524 of the family's 1533-position model. The record is from RNAcentral. Lineage: Bacteria; Bacillati; Bacillota; Bacilli; Caryophanales; Caryophanaceae.
CCUACGGGAGGCAGCAGUAGGGAAUCUUCCACAAUGGGCGAAAGCCUGAUGGAGCAACGCCGCGUGAGCGAAGAAGGUCUUCGGAUCGUAAAGCUCUGUUGUAAGGGAAGAACAAGUGCAGUAGUAACUGGCUGCACCUUGACGGUACCUUACUAGAAAGCCACGGCUAACUACGUGCCAGCAGCCGCGGUAAU